GGGGGAGUUGUUAAAUCGUAUUUAUUUUAAUGAAAAGCAUUUGGAGGAAAAAUAUAUGCAAAGAUACUUUUCUGUUUAAGAUGAAUUAUAGUUCAAUGGUUAAUCAGCUUGAAAUAGAGCUUACUUAUGUAGCAUGAGGCUGUGUAUAUACAUGCAAUAUUUACAUUUUUGGUAAUUCAAUACAAGUUAAUGCAUUGAAUGGUGAAAUGACAGGACCACUGCAGCCAGACGAUUUCAUUGUGAUGAAGAGUUCUGGGUGACUUUAGUGCUCCUUUAAACUUUGGUUAUCCCGUUGUAUAGAUCUACCUGUAAAUUGUUAUCCAUUAAAAAUAUUGUUUUAUCAAUUGUAGCCAUUAUGACACUUUGAAAAGAUAGUUCUCCAUUCCCUCCCCCCAGUAAAUACUAUGAGUGCAGCAGGGUAGCUAAAAAAACUUCUUGCCACUGCUGCAUGUCUGUGUGGGGCUAACGCCCUCCAUGUAUGCUCUGGGCAUCUGCUUGGAAAAUACUGUAAGAGCACAUGUGCCCUUGUGAAUUCCUUUCAUAGUACUGUGGGGGUUAAAUUAAUUUGCUUGGACAUCCUGGCAUAGAAUGUAAAUGAAAAAUUAAAAUGCGUUUGUUAGUUAGCAAUAUACAACAAAUCGAUAACCAUCAGUGAUUAUUGGCUUGUGUUCCACUUUAAAGUGACACUCCAGGUACCCGCAGUGCAAGAAUUCAUAAUGCUGGUUUUUGUUGCUUUAGCAAAAAGUACACUCUCAUGGUUUGUGUAUAUCCCGAAUGAAGCCAUUUGCAACUUAAUACAAGUGGUAGGAGGCUUCUAUUACCUUGUGCAUGUAGCUCCCUUCAUUCAUCUUAUUUAUGACCCAAGCUACAUUUGGCUGGGUCUGCUACAUGCUGUACAGCUUUUAAUAGAACACUAACAGUUGAACUAAAAGGGCCACUCUAAGCACCAUGAAUACAUACAUGGUUUUACAGGUUAUGGGUUAGAGUACCCUGCAUCCUGUCUUCGAAGGGCAAAAAUAUACAUCCUAGUACUGCACAAACUUCAUUAUAAUUCAGUUAUUAUGGUGCCUAGAGUUUGAUUUUAAAGGGACACUCCACUGUCCAAAUACAAAAUGAAUAAAACCCACCGUUUAGUAGAUAAGCUC
Molecule: non-coding RNA, 1145 nt
Organism: Pelobates cultripes (western spadefoot toad)
Lineage: Eukaryota; Metazoa; Chordata; Amphibia; Anura; Pelobatidae
Source: the annotation of a GenBank genome assembly